This 41-nucleotide small RNA is filed under the name Chaetoceros neogracilis. Its description in RNAcentral is "partial Mitochondrion-encoded tmRNA". Lineage: Eukaryota; Bacillariophyta; Thalassiosirophyceae; Chaetocerotales; Chaetocerotaceae. The record is from RNAcentral.
CUCAUUUUCUUGGAGUUGAUCAUGUAGGUCAUACUUACGGA